CCUGCGGAGGGAUCAUUACAAGAGACCCCGGUUUACCACCGGGAUGUUCAUAACCCUUUGUUGUCCGACUCUGUUGCCUCCGGGGCGACCCUGCCUUCGGGCGGGGGCUCCGGGUGGACACUUCAAACUCUUGCGUAACUUUGCAGUCUGAGUAAACUUAAUUAAUAAAUUAAAACUUUUAACAACGGAUCUCUUGGUUCUGGCAUCGAUGAAGAACGCAGCGAAAUGCGAUAAGUAAUGUGAAUUGCAGAAUUCAGUGAAUCAUCGAAUCUUUGAACGCACAUUGCGCCCCCUGGUAUUCCGGGGGGCAUGCCUGUUCGAGCGUCAUUUCACCACUCAAGCCUCGCUUGGUAUUGGGCAACGCGGUCCGCCGCGUGCCUCAAAUCGACCGGCUGGGUCUUCUGUCCCCUAAGCGUUGUGGAAACUAUUCGCUAAAGGGUGUUCGGGAGGCUACGCCGUAAAACAACCCCAUUUCUAAGGUUGACCUCGGAUCAGGUAGGGAUACCCGCUGAACUUAAGCAUAUCAAU
This 528-nucleotide ribosomal RNA is filed under the name Cladosporium cladosporioides. RNAcentral describes it as "eukaryotic LSU rRNA". The stretch from base 174 to 327 matches the Rfam family "5.8S ribosomal RNA". Lineage: Eukaryota; Fungi; Ascomycota; Dothideomycetes; Cladosporiales; Cladosporiaceae. The record is from RNAcentral.